AUGUGAUAUUGUGAAAAAUGGCUAAUAAACACCAGAGGACGCUUUACCUAUAUUUACAUUUUUUGCCGAAACAGUAGCCUAAAAAGGAAGGUCGUCUCGGAAACUUGUGAAUUGUUUUUAAGGAUUGCUGAUGGUGUAGAAACGGCGGAAAGAUAGACAGAAGCGAGGUUUUUUACCUUUGUGAAUAUGUCGUUUUGUAUUUAUACAAUUUUUUAAAAAUGUAAUUUACGCCGGCCAUAGUUUAUUUUACUAUUUUUACUUAAAAUGUGAUAUUGUGAAAAAUGGCUAAUAAACACCAGAGGACGCUUUACCUAUAUUUACAUUUUUUGCCGAAACAGUAGCCUAAAAAGGAAGGUCGUCUCGGAAACUUGUGAAUUGUUUUUAAGGAUUGCUGAUGGUGUAGAAACGGCGGAAAGAUAGACAGAAGCGAGGUUUUUUACCUUUGUGAAUAUGUCGUUUUGUAUUUAUACAAUUUUUUAAAAAUGUAAUUUACGCCGGCCAUAGUUUAUUUUACUAUUUUUACUUAAAAUGUGAUAUUGUGAAAAAUGGCUAAUAAACACCAGAGGACGCUUUACCUAUAUUUACAUUUUUUGCCGAAACAGUAGCCUAAAAAGGAAGGUCGUCUCGGAAACUUGUGAAUUGUUUUUAAGGAUUGCUGAUGGUGUAGAAACGGCGGAAAGAUAGACAGAAGCGAGGUUUUUUACCUUUGUGAAUAUGUCGUUUUGUAUUUAUACAAUUUUUUAAAAA
Long non-coding RNA from Centruroides sculpturatus (bark scorpion), 747 nucleotides. RefSeq lists it as uncharacterized. The transcript has 2 exons. NCBI's taxonomy places the organism in Eukaryota, Metazoa, Arthropoda, Arachnida, Scorpiones, Buthidae. The record is from RefSeq and is a predicted model, not a curated record.